Molecule: transfer RNA, 85 nt
Filed under: Felis catus (domestic cat)
Lineage: Eukaryota; Metazoa; Chordata; Mammalia; Carnivora; Felidae
Rfam family: tRNA
About the family: Transfer RNA (tRNA) molecules are approximately 80 nucleotides in length.
Source: Rfam by way of RNAcentral
GCCUGGGAGGCUCAGUAGGUUAAGCACCUGACUUCAGCUCAGGUCACGAUCUCAUGGUUUGUGAGUUCAAGCCCCACCUCUGGCU